This 379-nucleotide unclassified non-coding RNA is filed under the name Hevea brasiliensis (rubber tree). The record is from RNAcentral. Lineage: Eukaryota; Viridiplantae; Streptophyta; Magnoliopsida; Malpighiales; Euphorbiaceae.
AGAUAGCCAGACAGGAUUAAAACAACCAAUACAAAUAUAAGAAAUUAAGAAUCAGUUAGAUAUCAAAACUUCCAUCAGUUCAAACAAUGGACUCAGCUAAUAUAGCAAAUAGAGACAACUUCAACCAUUUAUCAACAAUAUGUGCCAAGUGCCAACUUCAUCACAAGCUAAUGACAACAGCAUGUUUUAAAUAACUGCUACUACAGACUAGAUGAAGCACACUCAGUGUGGAACUCCUCAUUUACUUCAGUUGACCUAGACUUGCAGUAAAAGUAGGCUAACGGCAGUUGUCAGAGAAGUUGAAAAUGGAGAAGUUCAAGCUGGAAAGUUUUGCAUUAGUUAGAAUUAUUUAAUAUUUUGCAUUUCUUUUCAUAUCUUU